Molecule: ribosomal RNA, 253 nt
Filed under: uncultured bacterium
Lineage: Bacteria
Description: partial 16S ribosomal RNA
Rfam family: Bacterial small subunit ribosomal RNA
Source: RNAcentral
GACGUAGGGGGCAAGCGUUGUCCGGAUUUAUUGGGCGUAAAGAGCGUGUAGGCGGCCGCACAGGUCCGUUGUGAAAACUGGAGGCUUAACCUUCAGACGUCGAUGGAAACCGUGCGGCUAGAGUCCGGAAGAGGAGAAUGGAAUUCCUGGUGUAGCGGUGAAAUGCGCAGAUAUCAGGAAGAACACCCGUGGCUAAGGCGGUUCUCUAGUACGGUACUGACGCUGAGACGCGAAAGCGUGGGGAGCGAACAGG